AUUGAACGCUGGCGGCAGGCCUAACACAUGCAAGUCGAACGAGUGGCGGACGGGUGAGUAAUGUCUGGGCAACUGCCUGAUGGAGGGGGAUAACUACUGGAAACGGUAGCUAAUACCGCAUACCAUCAGAUGUGCCCAGCUGGGAUUAGCUAGUUGGUGGGGAAACGGCUCACCAAGGCGACGAUCCCUAGCUGGUCUGAGAGGCUGACCGGCCACACUGGAACUGCGACACGGUCCGGAAUCUUACGGGAGGCAGAAGGGGGGAAUAUUGGAAAAUGGGCGCAAGCCUGAUGCAGCCAGGCCGCGUGUAUGAAGAAGGCCUUCGGGUUGUAAAGUACGUUCAGCGGGGAGGCGUUACCCGCAGAAGAAGCACCGGCUAACUCCGUGCCAGCAGCCGCGGUAAUAC
RNAcentral lists this ribosomal RNA (406 nucleotides) under uncultured bacterium. RNAcentral describes it as "partial 16S ribosomal RNA". It matches the Rfam family "Bacterial small subunit ribosomal RNA", at positions 29 to 526 of the family's 1533-position model. The record is from RNAcentral.